CAUGCCUAGCUUCUUCAUCGCUUCAAUCUCAUCAGGCCUCAUCUCUAUGCCAAAUUGAAAUGAAGCCAAAAAGCAAAAAAGAUUAGGAAGAAACAAAAGGGUACGGAUCACCCAAUCCGACCUUUACCUCAGGGAUCGGUGGGGCUAAGGCUGAUAUUGAAGAGAGUUUGCUCUGACAACAGCUCUGGCAAUACCAGAAUUUUACUACCAUGUAGUUGGAGUGUUGUCUAUCUUGAUCAUGUAGCUUGGGAGCUCAAAGGUUAGAC
This 266-nucleotide long non-coding RNA is filed under the name Elaeis guineensis (African oil palm). Its description in RNAcentral is "long non-coding RNA (EGUI_LNC062357)". The record is from RNAcentral. Lineage: Eukaryota; Viridiplantae; Streptophyta; Magnoliopsida; Arecales; Arecaceae.